GGCUCUGUGGCGCAAUGGAUAGCGCAUUGGACUUCUAGGCUAAUCAUUUAAGAGAUUCAAAGGUUGUGGGUUCGAGUCCCACCAGAGUCG
RNAcentral lists this transfer RNA (90 nucleotides) under Danionella translucida. It matches the Rfam family "tRNA". From Rfam's summary of the family: Transfer RNA (tRNA) molecules are approximately 80 nucleotides in length. Their secondary structure includes four short double-helical elements and three loops (D, anti-codon, and T loops). Further hydrogen bonds mediate the characteristic L-shaped molecular structure. tRNAs have two regions of fundamental functional importance: the anti-codon, which is responsible for specific mRNA codon recognition, and the 3' end, to which the tRNAs corresponding amino acid is attached (by aminoacyl-tRNA synthetases). tRNAs cope with the degeneracy of the genetic code in two manners: having more than one tRNA (with a specific anti-codon) for a particular amino acid; and 'wobble' base-pairing, i.e. permitting non-standard base-pairing at the 3rd anti-codon position. RNAcentral also lists the same sequence under 1 other name. Lineage: Eukaryota; Metazoa; Chordata; Actinopteri; Cypriniformes; Danionidae. The record is from Rfam by way of RNAcentral.